GUGAGGAAUAUCGCGCAAUGGAGGCAACUCUGACGCAGCCAUGCCGCGUGCAGGAAGAAGGCGCUACGCGUUGUAAACUGCUUUUAACCGGGAAGAAACCCCAGGACGUGUCCUGGGUUGACGGUACCGGAGGAAUAAGCACCGGCUAACUUCGUGCCAGCAGCCGCGGUAAUACGAAGGGUGCAAGCGUUAUCCGGAUUCAUUGGGUUUAAAGGGUGCGUAGGCGGAGCGUUAAGUCAGUGGUGAAAUCCUGCAGCUUAACUGUAGACUUGCCAUUGAUACUGGCGCUCUUGAGUGCGCUUGAAGUGGGCGGAAUGUGCCGUGUAGCGGUGAAAUGCUUAGAUAUGGCACAGAACACCAAUUGCGAAGGCAGCUCACUAAGGCGAUACUGACGCUGAGGCACGAAAGCGUGGGGAUCGAACAGGAUUAGAAACCCGUGUAGUCC
RNAcentral lists this ribosomal RNA (445 nucleotides) under uncultured bacterium. Its description in RNAcentral is "partial 16S ribosomal RNA". It matches the Rfam family "Bacterial small subunit ribosomal RNA", at positions 354 to 796 of the family's 1533-position model. The record is from RNAcentral.